Molecule: unclassified non-coding RNA, 313 nt
Filed under: plant metagenome
Description: partial contains 5.8S ribosomal RNA, internal transcribed spacer 2, and large subunit ribosomal RNA
Rfam family: 5.8S ribosomal RNA (bases 1-105)
Source: RNAcentral
GAAAUGCGAUAAGUAAUGUGAAUUGCAGAAUUCCGUGAAUCAUCGAAUCUUUGAACGCACAUUGCGCCCCCUGGUAUUCCGGGGGGCAUGCCUGUCCGAGCGUCAUUUCAACCCUCAAGCACGGCUUGUGUGAUGGGCCACGCGUCCGCUCUGAUAGCGGACGGGCCCGAAAGGCAGCGGCGGCGUCGACCCGAUGAGCCCGAGCGUAUGGGGACUUCUGUCACACGUUCGCGGUGCGGACCGGCGCCUGCUUGACUUUUCUGAUUAUCCAGGUUGACCUCGGAUCAGGUAGGGAUACCCGCUGAACUUAAGC